This 274-nucleotide ribosomal RNA is filed under the name uncultured bacterium. RNAcentral describes it as "partial 16S ribosomal RNA". It matches the Rfam family "Bacterial small subunit ribosomal RNA", at positions 523 to 796 of the family's 1533-position model. The record is from RNAcentral.
AUACGGAGGGUGCAAGCGUUGUUCGGAAUUACUGGGCGUAAAGGGCGCGCAGGCGGUUUGGUAAGUCAGAUGUGAGAGUCCAGGGCUUAACCCUGGAAGUGCAUAUGAAACUGUCAGACUUGAGUAUCAGAGGGGAAAGUGGAAUUCCCGGUGUAGAGGUGAAAUUCGUAGAUAUCGGGAGGAAUACCGGUGGCGAAGGCGACUUUCUGGCUGAAUACUGACGCUGAGGCGCGAAAGCGUGGGGAGCAAACAGGAUUAGAAACCCGGGUAGUCC